RNAcentral lists this long non-coding RNA (1052 nucleotides) under Mus spicilegus (steppe mouse). Its description in RNAcentral is "lncRNA (ENSMSIG00000001282.1)". The record is from RNAcentral. Lineage: Eukaryota; Metazoa; Chordata; Mammalia; Rodentia; Muridae.
GGUCAUGUGUAUCCCUUGCUGGACUGGAACUCUAUGUAGAAGAGGAUGCUGGGACCACGGGCAUGCCCCACUGUGCCUGAUUUAUGUGGUACUGUGGAUCACACCCAGAGCUUCAUUGAUGAUACAGGAGUUUUUGGACCGUGCCUGCCUGGCCAGCAGGGAACAGGAAACCCUGAGAGUUCAAAUAUUAGUGGAAGAGACUUUGCCAGAUGAGGAUCUGAAAACCAUACAGAAGCAAGAUUUGGCACCCGCAUCCAAGAGCUGCUUCAGGUUAAGUGUAUACAUCCAGACCACAGGUAAGAAGAACCGGGGAAGGGCAGAUGCCGGCUUCAGGUGCAGAGACUUUCCCCUAAGGAAGGUUGCCCUGGCUGGAGCACCUUACAGGGUCUCUGGGUGACGCCCAGCCUUCAAUGCACUUUGUUAUCCCCUGGGGUUGUCACAGUAUUGGCACUUGAGUUUCCCCACCCAAAGGUUGCCCAAGGAGCUUGGGCUUUAAAAAUACCCGCCCCCUCCAGCCUCAGAGUUCUAAUGUGUGCCAGCAGGGAGAACCAUCACACCAUGGAAUGCCUGGGACUGUUUAGGAACGCCCUGUUGCUGUGAUCCAACCUAGAGGACCUAGUGUGGAGGAGAGAGGGGUGAGCUGAUGUGGGCCUCAAAGGAUAAGAAAAAGCAGAGCAAGUGCAGGUGUGUGGAGAAAGUAGAGAAAGCCUAGAGCCCAGGGGCGGGGCAGAGCCAAGGGGCAGGUCAGAGCCCAGGGGCAGGGCAGAGCCCAGUGGUAGGACAGAGCCCAGAAGUGGCCUAGAGUUUAGAGGUGGUCAGAGAGUCAGGGUAAACACCAAGCAGUUUGAUUCCUGCCUAGAGUUUGAUUCGAGACUAGAGACACAGGCCUGGGGUUAGGGGCUGCGGAGGUAGGGAUGUCGAGGGGUACAGUCUGGUUGAAAACUGGGCUGAACAGGAACAGUGCACUGCUUAAACUAUGAGAGGAGUGAACAGACAGACUGUAGCAUGGGAAGUAUUCUAGUAGGCAAAUAAACAGCCUUGAAAUCUGUCCA